RNAcentral lists this ribosomal RNA (2016 nucleotides) under marine sediment metagenome. Its description in RNAcentral is "bacterial LSU rRNA". It matches the Rfam family "Bacterial large subunit ribosomal RNA", at positions 1 to 2003 of the family's 2925-position model. The record is from RNAcentral.
UUAAGGGCGAAAGGGCACAUGGUGGAUGCCUUGGCACCAAAUGAUGAAGAAGGACGUGGUUAACUGCGAAAAGCUUCGGAGAGCUGUAAGCAAGCUUAGACCCGGAGAUAUCCGAAUGGGGCAACCCGGCUCUGUUAGAACAGAGUCAUUCUGAGAUAGAAUACAUAUAUUUCAGGAGAUCAACCCGCUGAACUGAAACAUCUAAGUAAGCGGAGGAAGAGAAAGUAAUAACGAUUUCCUUAGUAGCGGCGAGCGGACGGGAAAGAGCCUAAACCCAUUUAUAUGGGGGUAGUGGGACUCGAGUUAUCGAUUAGUACAAUAUAGACGAACACGGUUGGGAAGCCGGAUCGGAGAGGGUGAUAAUCCCGUAGUUGAAAUAUUGUAUUAAUUGUAUUGAGUAUCCCGAGUAGGCCGGGGCACGUGGAACCCUGGUUGAAUCAGCGAGGACCAUCUCGUAAGGCUAAAUACAUUUGGUGACCGAUAGUGAAUUAGUACCGUGAGGGAAAGGUGAAAAGCACCCCGGGAGGGGAGUGAAAUAGAACCUGAAACCGUGUGCUUACAAUCAGUCGGAGCCUGCAUUUAUGUGGGUGACGGCGUGCCUUUUGCAUAAUGAGCCGGUGAGUUAAUGUUAUCAGCAGGUUAAGUGAUACAGUCAUGUAGCCAUAGCGAAAGCGAGUUUUAAUAGAGCGACUUUGUUGAUAGUAUUAGACCCGAAGCCUAGUGAUCUACCCAUGUCCAGGUUGAAGUCACGGUAACACGUGAUGGAGGACCGCACCAGGAAGCGUUGAAAAGCUUUUGGAUGAGGUGUGGGUAGGGGUGAAAGGCCAAUCAAACUAGGAGAUAUCUGGUUCUCUCCGAAAACUGUUUAGGCAGUGCCUUAGAUAAGAGUUAUGGAGGUAGAGCACUGAAUGGGCUAGGGGGCAUACCAGCCUACUGAACCCAACCAAACUCCGAAUGCCAUAACUUAAUGUCUAGGAGACAGCGUGCGUGGGAUAAGCUUCGUACGCGAGAGGGGAACAACCCAGACCGACGGCUAAGGUCCCUAAAUAUAUGCUUAGUGAGGAAGGAUGUUUUAUUGCCAAGACAGCCAGGAUGUUGGCUUAGAAGCAGCCACCAUUUAAAGAGUGCGUAAUAGCUCACUGGUCAAGUGGUAAUGCACCGAAGAUGAUCGGGACUUAAGCAUAUUACCGAAGCCUCGGAUCCCAUAUUUAUAUGGGAUGGUAGGAGAGCAUUCCAGUCAGCGAUGAAGGAGAGCUGUAAGGCGAUCUGGAGCGUCUGGAAGAGACCAUGCCGGCAUGAGUAGCGAUAAUGUAAGUGAGAAACUUACACACCGCAAGCCUAAGGUUUCCUGAGUAAAGAUAAUCUUCUCAGGGUAAGUCUGCCCCUAAGGCGAGUCAAGCGAGCUUGAGUAGCUGAUGGGAAUCUGGUUAAUAUUCCAGAACUUGCUAUAGUUAGAGAUGGAGUGACGCAAUGGUGCUCCGGAGACGGGUGUUGGACGUCCCGUUGAACACGUGUAGAUUAGUGUAUAGGCAAAUCCGUACACUUUUAUUCGAGGCGUGGGACGAGAGCUUUAAGCUCAAAAGUCCGGUUAUAUACGUUGCCAAGAAAUAACUUCUAAUUGUUUGAAGCUAUAGCGAACAGUACCGCAAACCGACACAGGUAGGCGAGGAGAGUAUCCUAAGGUGUUCGAGAGAAUUCUGGUUAAGGAACUCGGCAAAAUGACCCCGUAACUUCGGGAGAAGGGGUGCCCCAUUAUCGUGAUAGUCUUUCGGCUUGAGCGAGAGGGGGCCGCAGUGAAGAGGUCCAAGCGACUGUUUAUCAAAAACACAGGUCUAUGCGAAGACGCAAGUCACGGUAUAUAGACUGACACCUGCCCGGUGCUGGAAGGUUAAGUGGAAGAGUUAGCUUUAUGCGAAGCUCAGAAAUUAAGCCCCAGUAAACGGCGGCCGUAACUAUAACGGUCCUAAGGUAGCGAAAUUCCUUGUCGGGUAAGUUCCGACCUGCACGAAUGGUGUA